This 1626-nucleotide long non-coding RNA is filed under the name Homo sapiens (human). Its description in RNAcentral is "HSALNT0165489". The record is from RNAcentral. Lineage: Eukaryota; Metazoa; Chordata; Mammalia; Primates; Hominidae.
GGAACUUGUUAGAAAUGUAGAUUCUUGGGCUCCAACCCAGGCCUACUAAAGUGGAAGCUCUGGGGGUGGGGCCCACAGUCUGUGUUUACUAAGCCUUCCAGGUGAUUCUGAUGCACACUCAGGUGUGAAAACCUCUGCUGUAGAGCACGCUUAUGUGAGUGUGUUCAUGCACCACAUUCUGGGCAUUUUCAAGAAUAGGUAUUCAUUCUCAGACAUAUGCUCCCUGCUACUGCUUCCUAUGUAGGGAUGCAUUCAUUUUCCUAGUCAAACUGGAACAAUGUCAUAUGUGUCUGAAAAUCCCUUAAACUUUGCUUCCCAAGGGUCGGUUCAAGACGAGAAGCAUCUGUAUCUCCUGCGGGCUUGUAAAGAAGGCAGAAUCGUGGGCCCAUCCCAGAUCUACUUAAGCAGAAUCUUCAUUUUUGACAUGAUCCUUCCAGAAGCCACUGGGAUUCCUGGAGUGUUUUCGGAGCAGUGAGUACCACAGACUUUAGCAAGCACACUGGAUGAGAAUCCAACAGUGACCUUGCUUGAGGAAGAUGAACAACGCUUCAGACAGCAUGUCAAAUAGAUUCAAGUUUUAAGAAAUCAGGAAGAAACCAUCUUGGAAAACAAAUAUUGAAACUAGAACAAGACUGUAAAAUAAACAGGAAGGACUUAAAGUUUAUGAAAUAGAAAAAGAUAAUAUAAACGAUCAAUAUAACUAAAAGCUAGUCUUCAAAAGGACAGAGCCACAUUUCUGAGAAAGCUUCCUGACUGGAAUAAUAAAUUGUGCUUGAAAAACAUAGAAACAGAGGAGAGGGCAAGGUUACUGCUGAAAUGGAAAACUAAGUGACACAUGGCUUGAAAACUCUCAGAAUCACUGGCAUUCCCUGGUCAAGUUGAGUGGAACAAAUCACUCCCCAAACAAAAUGAAGUUUUGACUCUAUAGAGCCAAUGGAUGUGGACCCUGGACUUAGAAAGAGAUUUGUAAACAAACCAGAGAACACCGAAGAGCUGCUCCUUCGCACUGAAAUGGUUUGCUGGCUUUCUGCCUAGAUCCGACAUCUCUUCAAAUGGACAGUCCCAACUCUCCUUCUCUCACUUCUCUUCCCCCUUCUCUGUAAGUCACAAAUGCUGCAUUUGGAGGAACUUCAUUUUAACUAGGAUAAACAUCACAUAAUAAAUGAUGCAUUUUUUCUCAUAAAGCAAACCAUUUAUCAAUGUUUUUAGUAAUUGUUUGUGUUGGAGCCCUUGGUGGAAGUCUUAUGAUCUAUAGUGUCCAUUGAGGCUUCCAUUUAAAGGGGGGCAGAGACAAUGCCAAAGUUGAUACAAGGGAUGAUGGGGAGAUAAGCUCUCGAGGCCUAUAUAUUAUCCGCCCGCAGUGUUGGGAGGGCCACAGGAAGGAUGGUGAUUAUUCUAUUUGGCAAGCCAAUUGUCUGUCUUUGGAAAAUGAUAGGAUGAAGAGUGGAGUCAAAAAUAAUACCUUUCUCGAUGCCCAGAUAUAAAUGAGCUAUUUACAAUCCCUCCUGCCUUUUAGGUUUGGGUUUUAUUUUUCCUCUGCACAAUAGAUUAAACCUUCAAGGAGGUUUGUAGUAAAAGAGGAGGAAACUAUGAAAAACACCACAUACUUGCAGACACCUGCAAGCA